RNAcentral lists this ribosomal RNA (292 nucleotides) under uncultured bacterium. Its description in RNAcentral is "partial 16S ribosomal RNA". It matches the Rfam family "Bacterial small subunit ribosomal RNA", at positions 505 to 796 of the family's 1533-position model. The record is from RNAcentral.
GUGCCAGCCGCCGCGGUGAUACGGAAGGGGCUAGCGUUGUUCGGAUUUACUGGGCGUAAAGCGCGCGUAGGCGGCGGACCAAGUUAGGCGUGAAAGCCCUGGGCUCAACCCGGGAACUGCGCUUAAGACUGGUUCGCUUGAGUCCGGGAGAGGGUGGUGGAACUCCCAGUGUAGAGGUGAAAUGCGUAGAUAUUGGGAAGAACACCGGUGGCGAAGGCGGCCACCUGGACCGGUACUGACGCUGAGGUGCGAAAGCGUGGGGAGCAAACAGGAUUAGAAACCCGAGUAGUCC